CGCGGACGGACACUGCAAAUAACACGUGGGUGCAGUGGCACACGUACAUGUGCACGUUUAGUGAUGGUAUACUGAAAUCAUCAUGGUGGUCGCUUCAAUCCGCUUUUUCGCGACUCUGUGUAUCAUCUGAACAUGAAGACGUAAGAAAUAAGUCUCCGGGGGUCUGAGGAAUCGCUGGCACACCUACGUGAUAUGGAUGACUUAACUACAGAUCUUUGCCCAACUCUGGCAUGUCUGGAAGUGGAACCGAUGAGGAACAAGACUCCAUGUGGCUCAAAAACAUUGGUCUGGCGAAACAUGGCAAUGUACAUACACUGUAUAUACUCAUCUGUGUGUGAAGUUGCCAACUUGGUCUGGAAUAAACUCGCUCCGAGUCAACUCCAUCUCAGGUCAAUUGUCAACUCUGGAAGGCAGGCACAUGGCUCCAGCAUGAAUAAAAAUCUUCCAAGCUAGUUUUGACGCACUUUAGCAUACCUGUAUUAAAGUACUUAUAUGUUCAUGUAAAUUUACUGACAUGUGCAUGAGAUGCUUGGCCUUGUAAUUUGGGAAGGCCAGGCACUUGGACGCAUUGUUAACUACCACAGAUGAGAAGGCAAAAUCCCAGUCUUUCUUGCCAGAUUGUCAAACUUUGGCAUGUAAGUAUUUUUAGAAUUCUAACGUUGCAUGUACACUAUAUUUACACAUAUAGGGCGCUUGCACAGCCGUCAGGGUCACGGGCCUGUUGCUCCGGAAUGUCUUCUCAGCCACUCAGUGCGCUUCAUGGAAACGCAUACCAGUUUAUGCAUAUGUACUCAUGUGCAUACUGCACUUAUGUUCGCCAUGGCUGCUACCAAAGCUCCACAAAAUUCGGCUCCUGCUUCGAAUAUUGAGUUGUCAAAGUACGUAACCAAUUUAUCACCAGAAGAAUGUGCCCGUUAUAUAAGAAAGAUCUCCAUGGUUGGUAGUGACCCAUAUGUGGUCGCUAACAGUGAUAAAUUAUGCGACAUCAAUUGACUUCCACAGAUCAAUUCAAUGGACAUAAUGUCCUAUUUGAUAUCAACACUGAGUCCAUAUACCGUGUACAAGUCUUCGGAGGCGUAUAAUCAGUUUGCCAAUGGUUGGCUGUUUAACACCAGUGUAUGUACCUCACCAAAACAACCAGAUCUUCAAGUGGUGUUUGGAUGAGUGAUGCAUUCACAGUCCAUAAGAGAGAAGGCAUUGUCACCCUUGGUCAUAGCUACAGAUGGCCAGAUACGUUGUACCCACUGUGACUGCAAAGCUGGAAUCGUUGAAGUAUGCGCACAUGCCAUAACACUUCUUUUCGGGAUAGAUUCAGGAGUUCAUAUUCACGAGAAAAAGAGUCACGCAAGUGAAGGCCUGUUGGAUGGCACCGUCCAAGAAGGAUGUUAUAGCUGCCCCUGGAUAAAGUAAGGUGGAAUUCUCUUCAGCAGCCAAACGUAAAAGGAAAAUGGAUGCGACUGUUGAUGGUGCAGGGGAUAAUUUGAAGGAUGUUGGACGUGAGAAUUGGGAGACAUCCUCAGCUUCAAGCUCGGCAUCAUCGUUACCAGAAGACCAGGAGCUUAGUGACCUUGUAUGAGGACUUGAAUUGACUGGUAGAAAGUCUGCCGUAUUGAGUGCAGUGGACUCUUUUGCAAAUAGCUCUAUUUCUGCAGAGACUGUGAAAGAAUUUCCAGUGACACUGUCAGAUUUUAAAGAUGCCAACACAUUUAAUCUGGCUUACACAGAGCUGUUGGAGAAAUUUGAAAAUAUAAAAUAUGAUGUAACUCCAGAGGCUGCAAGGAAUUUCAAGGCCCACACAAAAACACAAGCUAAAUCAACCCUGUGGUGGAGAUACCGAGCAGGAAGAAUUACUGCAUCAAAGAUGAAAAGUGUGUGCAGGACAGAUGCAGGUUAUCCUGCAGUAAGCCUUCUUAAAUCUGUGUGUUACCCUGAUCUGUACAAGUUCACCACGGAAGCAACUCAGUGGGGAUGUGAGCAUGAAGAGCAUGCGAGAAUCUGUAUGCAGACUACAUGAAGACAAAACAUGUAGGGUUUCAUGUGGAAAACUCUGGUCUAAUUAUAAACCCAAAGUAUCCAUACUUUGGUGCAUUGCCGGAUGGCCUUGUAUGGUGUUCAUGCUGCAGAGAAAUUGGUGUUUGUGAAAUAAAGUGCCCCUUUUGUAAAAUGAACAAGUCCAUUAAAGAGGUUGCAGAGGAAAAAACAUUUUGCAUUCAACCAGUGGGUGCCAAACUUUGUCUCUCCAGAGAGCAUCAGUGCUACUAUCCGGUUCAGACACAGAUCUUCAUCUCUGAGAGGCCAUACUGUGACUUUGUCUUGUGGACCAAAGAGGAUGUUCACAUUGAACAUGUUCUUGGUGAUGAUGCUUUCUAAGCAAACAUUGUUUUAGCAGCAACCAAGAUUGGAGUCUUACCAGCACUUGGGGGCAAGUACAUAUUCACCAAGCUACCACAGGAUCUGACCAAGCAUCACAUGGAAACUAAUGAUGCUUCUGAGAAGUGGUGUUAUUGUUGCCAGGGCAAGAGAGGACGGAUGAUUCUGUUUGACAAUGCUACAUGCCAACAGUUUCAUUUCAAAUGCUUGAGUUCAAAGGAAUGUUUCAAAGAAAAAGAAGUACUCUCCAUCUGUAGAAAUCUGGUGGACUUAGGUCUGAACAAAGUGUGUGCUUACUUCAACACAGACUUUCUUGUUUACCUUAGAUCAAGUUUUUCUCUUUUAUCAUGGUACACAGGAAAUUGACAUUCAAGAAUACUAACAAGUCACCUGACCAGUACUUGGACCAGUGUGCAUGCAUUCCAUUUUAUAUACAACCAGUGUGUUGGCCCGUGUUUGUCUAGUAAGGUUGAGUAAUGUCAACUUUUGACAUGUUCCAUUCAAAACUUGAAAAGGGAAUAAAUGUAAAUUUCACAUUUAAAUAAAAAGAUGAUAUAUUUUGUAUUAAGAAUUUCAGAUGGGGGUUUUCAUAUUCUGGACAAACAUUUCAGACUUAGAAAAACUUGUUUAUAUGAUUCAGACUUUCAUUCGAAUCCACAAAUCUUGAUUUACAUGUAUUCCUAAGUGACAAAUCUGCAGCCUGUAAGUCAUGUACAUGUGGAUUGAUUCUGUGCUACAUGUAGGCCUAUGUUACAGAGCUAAAGUCAAAGUUUAAUAAUACAAUAAGAGACUGGAAGAUUUGGGUCUUGGUUUAUUGCAGUGUAACUACAUGUGUGUGUCCAUUAGGUCAAAACAUCUACACAAUCUGUCAAAACCUGCAAUAAAGAGUCUCAUUUUGAUGUUCUGAUUCAAAAUACAGUAUGUUUGUGUUGCACAUUCUUUGGCUACAAGUUUAAUUAACAGGCACAUUUAUAACUGUCAACUUUUCCUAGUUCUCUGUUAUCAAGUUAAAUUGGGUUUUGCACAGGACUUGUUUGAAAGUGAGGCCAAAAUUGGGCUACAUUUCAGGCAAUUAAUUUUAAGCCAACAUCUUUAAGCCUUCAUUGAAAAGAACAUAUUGCCCUUAUAACUCCUUCAGAGGGGUAAAUUUGAAAAAUGGCAGUUGAAAAGGAAUUGGUUACUUGCAGUGAUGAAAUUACGUGAAAAUUUGAUUCACUUGUAUGUCGCCGUCUAAUAUGAGUGACUCAUUCAUAUUGAAUAAAGCACAGCAAAUUCUGGCUAUUUUAUCUGUUUUUGGAACAGGAUUGUCUGAAUAUUCACCGUAAAUACUACUGGCACUGGGUGACUUAAUAUGUUACAUUUUUGUCAUCCCACCAAUGAUUUGCUCCACAUGAAUACAUAAGUGAGCUAUCUCUCAUGGUUUUUUCACAUCUAGAGCAUAGAGAUGUGGUUUCCCUUCCAUAAAUGUGGGUAUCUCAGCCUCACAUCCAUAGUAACCAGCAUCGUCCUUUAUAUCAAAAACUCUGGCUGCAAAAAUGAUGUCUUGCAGAAGAAGUUUCCUUAAGAAAUUAGACUCUAGUGUUAUGGUUUUGUCUGUUCCUCUGCCACCCCAUGCUGCUGACAAGAACAAAAUCACACCCUGAGGGGUUAUCCCAAUUAAAAACUUGAUUGUGCUGUGGUGGUUAUAAUUGGACCAGGUUUGGGCCCUGGCUUCCAAGCUGGUAGGCCAGUUAUAAAACACUUCAAAACAAUCAAUAAUUACAGCAACUCUUUUGCCAAAUGUCCGAUAGAAUUGCAUAGGCAUGGUUUUCCUCAAAACCUUCCUAUCUAUCCGAGUUGAUAAACCAUAUUGAGCAUCUAUCCUACUGAAAAUAGGUAAAAUUGUAGACUCGCUAACAAAGAACCGGUAUGCUAGGUCUUCGUGAGGCAUGGUUUGUCUGAGUUUCAUGAGAAUGAUUAGGAGUUGUUGAAACUGGGUGACACAUCGUCUAGUGGGCAGCUUGCUUGUAACAUAAUGAAAUGCAAGCAUUAAAACUGCAUAAGUGGGCAGGCCCGUAUGAAACUGUUUUGUCAUCGUUUACAAAACUUUCUUCACUUAGUUUUCCAUCUAGUCUUGUCUUCUUAAGUUCAGCAUUAUUGUAAUACUAGCUUGCGCAUCCAAAACCGUGACAUCAGCUGCAAACAUAUCAGUCUGCAUUGCCAUUUAUGUUGUCAUGCAGUCAGUUUGUGUGGUCUGUUCUACAGGACCGUGAUCUGCCAACUCAUUUGGAUCUUACCGGAGUUAGUCUUGUAGGUUCAGAAGUCCUUGCACUGCACAUAUCUGUGACUUCUGACCGUCUCGUCACGCUGCUCUCUCAUGUCUCUUUUGAGUGAGCUGCACUGAUGCAGUAGCCACUGCCUUGCCAUCAUGAUCCAUCUUCCGUGUGGGAGCCCAGUCAGAAUUGGUUUCAUCCCUCAACUCUGCAGGCUUUCCUAAAUGUAAAAGGGAAAAUGACACCAAACAAUAAGGGAAUAGACACCAGCCUUUUCAACUUCUAUCUUAUCUUCAGGAUUUACAAUGAACCUCAAACCACUUUUGUGAACUUGAUUUUGAAAGUAUGACGUUUAAAAGGGAUGGUGUACAGGAAAUGUUUAGGGGUUGGGCCAUGUAGGGUUAAAUUGACGUUAUAUGAUAGUUUUCAACCAUCUUAUAUACAAUAAGUUGGAUUAACCCCUC
Molecule: long non-coding RNA, 5086 nt
Filed under: Acanthaster planci (crown-of-thorns starfish)
Lineage: Eukaryota; Metazoa; Echinodermata; Asteroidea; Valvatida; Acanthasteridae
Description: uncharacterized LOC110978611, transcript variant X1
Source: RNAcentral